Molecule: long non-coding RNA, 592 nt
Organism: Talpa occidentalis (Iberian mole)
Lineage: Eukaryota; Metazoa; Chordata; Mammalia; Eulipotyphla; Talpidae
Exons: 3
Source: RefSeq, a predicted model, not a curated record
GUAGGGUGUUUAGCAGCAUCUCUGCCUUCUGCCACUAGAUGCCAGUACAACCCCUCUGGUGUGACAAAAAUGUCUCCUGCCAAUACUAAAUGUCGCUUGGGGGAGCAAACUCAUCCUUGCUAAAAACCACAACCUUAGUAAAAACAUUUUUGACAAAGAAUUGAAUUCUGACCCCAAACUGAAGUGGGAUAAUGAAUUAUAGGAAUUGAAGAACUGGAGACAAGUACUGUGGGUAACUUUAAGAAUCUUGAAUGUGUAAUAUUGAUUACAGUUACAAUGAGGUAAGAAGAGGCAUCUCAAAAAAGAGAAGGGUUUGUGGGAGGUUAUUUUUAAGACAGGUGAGACUUGAGCAUGUUUGUACACUACUUGGAAGGAAAUGGAGAUAAUUGAUGUUCAAAUUCCUUGAAGGAAUAGCAUCCAAAAUACUGAUGGAGGAUUUGCCUUACAAGAGGAGAAUACUUCUUUCAUUGUAAUUGGAGGUGAGGAAACAGAGUUGGAAAGGCUAAGUUAACUCGCCCAGACUCAAUGAUGAAGUGGUUAUGAAGAGCAAAUGAGUUAUAGAUUGUGAAGCCAUUGGUGAUCUGUAAAUUGA